RNAcentral lists this ribosomal RNA (1298 nucleotides) under Ruditapes philippinarum (Manila clam). RNAcentral's name for it is "eukaryotic LSU rRNA". The stretch from base 662 to 816 matches the Rfam family "5.8S ribosomal RNA". The record is from RNAcentral. Lineage: Eukaryota; Metazoa; Mollusca; Bivalvia; Venerida; Veneridae.
GUAGGUGAACCUGCGGAUGGAUCAUUACCAUGAAAUGAUAGACUGCCGGCAGAUCCCGCCCUGGCCAGUCUCUAAACUAAUCUUGAACGCACCACGCACGCCCCAGUCGACGCGUGCCUAAUAAAACGUCGACCCAGCAGCACCCGGGUCUACGGGCUGCCCCGGCGGCGGAUUGGCCACCGCUGCCGGACUGCGGCCACCACUUCGGGCUGCUGCUGGAAAAAGUCGGGAGCCGUCCGCCAGAGGUGAUUCCCACCCAGGACAGUGGCUCUCGCAGCGCCGUGGGGUGCCGGCGGUCGAGGACCCUCGAAUCGCUCCCUUUGGCCGGGGAGCGAGGAACGGUCCCGGACCUAGUUCGCUUGCCGAUGCUGCUCGCGAACGACGCCGGCCGCAAGGCGAUCUUCCCCCUGCCGGGAAAAGCGCCCCUCUUUCCCGUCUCUUCGGAGACGGGAUUGCGCCCUCCUCAAAGCGUACACCAACGUUUUUGCGGGCGUCGCGGAGGAAAGCAACGGGGGCAGAGAGAGGAGACUCUUCCUUCCCCUAGUAGUUAGUACUCCGCGCUUGAACGCGUGACUCUGUAUCCGGGCUCUCUCGGGAGACAGAGCGCAGGACUUCCGCCCGUGUUGCGCGGGCGGUCGACACCUGUUCAGAAAUCUGAGACAACUCUAUGCGGUGGAUCACUCGGCUCGUGCGUCGAUGAAGAGCGCAGCCAGCUGCGUGAAUUAAUGUGAAUUGCAGGACACACUGAACAUCGACACCUUGAACGCACAUUGGCGGCUCUGGCUCACUGCCAGAGCCACGCCUGUCCGAGGGUCGGCGAACAAGUCAUCGGCUCUCACUGUUCACUACGGUGAGGGGCGAGUUGGCGCGUCGCGCGGGCUUACGUCCCGCUCGUCCGCCGUAGAUUCCAGCCUCUCUCUGCCGGUCGAACCAGUCGCUGGAAGUGGCGCGGAGACAGGGCUCGAACGGGCCCGCACGUCCCGCUCCGCGUCCUCCUUCACCGGAGGGCGGCCUUCCGUGCGGCGUCGUCGCCGGCAAAAGCGAGAGAGAGCGGCCAAGGACGGGUCUAGCCAGCCCGGCCCCCAGCCGAAACCGGAGACGCGGGGAGACGGGCCGACUGACGACGACGACUCCAGCGAUGGGGUCCGAGUCCGAUGACGCCGCCUCAACCCCCGCACCACCUCCAAAAAAUUCAUCCGACCUCGGAUCAGACGGGACUACCCGCWGAAUUUAAGCAKAUCAGUAAGCGGAGGAAAAGAAACUAACCAGGAUUCCCUCAGUAACGGCGAGUGAAGCGG